AACGAACGCUGGCGGCAUGCCUAACACAUGCAAGUCGAACGAGACCUUCGGGUCUAGUGGCGCACGGGUGCGUAACGCGUGGGAAUCUGCCCUUUGCUUCGGAAUAACACAGAGAAAUUUGUGCUAAUACCGGAUAAUGUCGCAAGACCAAAGAUUUAUCGGCAAAGGAUGAGCCCGCGUAAGAUUAGGUAGUUGGUGGGGUAAUGGCCUACCAAGCCGACGAUCUUUAGCUGGUCUGAGAGGAUGAUCAGCCACACUGGGACUGAGACACGGCCCAGACUCCUACGGGAGGCAGCAGUGGGGAAUAUUGGGCAAUGGGCGAAAGCCUGACCCAGCAACGCCGCGUGAAGGAUGAAGGUCUUCGGAUUGUAAAGCUCUUUUACCAGGGAUGAUAAUGACAGUACCUGGAGAAUAAGCUCCGGCUAACUCCGUGCCAACAGCCGCGGUAAUGUAGUCGUGU
RNAcentral lists this ribosomal RNA (460 nucleotides) under uncultured bacterium. RNAcentral's name for it is "bacterial SSU rRNA". It matches the Rfam family "Bacterial small subunit ribosomal RNA", at positions 29 to 534 of the family's 1533-position model. The record is from RNAcentral.